This is a non-coding RNA of Lepisosteus oculatus (spotted gar), 2141 nucleotides long. Lineage: Eukaryota; Metazoa; Chordata; Actinopteri; Semionotiformes; Lepisosteidae. The record is from RefSeq and is a predicted model, not a curated record.
CUUUGUAAUUUACGUUGUAUGUGUUCUUAUAAAUUGGUUAGGAUUUUCUGAAAUUAACUUUAAGAACACUACAAAUUCAUUAGAACUACGCUUUGGAAUAGACAUUUUGCUGUCACCUGAUCGUUUUUUUGGGGGGAGGGUAGGUCCAUGCAGCAAGUAAAAUGGCAUUUUCUAUGAAGCCCGGAGUACUAUUUUUAAUCAUUUGUAGUCCAAGCUUGGACUAAAAAAAAGAUAAAUGCUUAUCUGAGAAAAGUGUGAAAGAAUUUGUAACUGUAAUUGUAGUGGAUACGAUAACAUUUCUUGGGGUACAGGAUUUUCGUGUUCCAAGCAAAAAGCAAGGGGAAUACCUUAAGAUAAGUUUGACAAUACUAAUAGAAAAAUACAGAGAUGAAACUGAAAAAAAUACGUUAUAUGGAUUUUCCUUAACAUUCAGCUGAAUCAUUUCUGUCGGAGAAGACGUUAAUUAAUGGGCCAAUAAAUUAUCAUUUGCUUUGUUUGCAGCAGCCGAAAGAUAGCGGACAAGAACCCACCAACAGUGAUCUCCGAAAAAAAAAAGUGGAAUUUCGCGGACCACAAAAAACACCUGUCACUUUAAAUUUAACAUGUCGUUGCUGGAAAUGGAUUCUGUUGUACUAACACACCAGCAAGCUUUGCAUCGCGGAGCACAGUCCUAAAUGGAUGAGGAUUACUGACCACCUCUCGAAAGCUACAUUGUCGCUGCGUGCUAAACUCGACCUUUUCCAUGGAUCCGUGGGCAUCAGUUUCCUUGUGCUAAUGACGUGGACUUAGACAUUGUUUUGAACCAUCCCUGCAAAAUGUCACAGAAGAGUAUGCUCCACAGGAAUGGCAAGCCCUGUCGAAGGAGAUGGGAAUAGGCCAGCACAUCAGAUGUUUCACAUUUUGUGACUUUCGGUUAAUAGUAUACCAGGCUUGUUCUCAAUGGUGUCUCCUAUAGCAACGAUGACAGAUGUAAUAAAAAGAACAUUUAAAAAAUGACUGAUGUACAUGACCUCGGAGACAUAUUUGUUCUAAAUCUUAGUUUAGGUGUCUGUUAUUACUGACUAUAAACAGUCAAUUAACAUGUUAUUAAUGAUAUUAAAGAUGGUUAUUAACACCCUAAUCUUAAUUCUAAUUCUAAUUGUUACUAAACUCCCAUUAAUCUAUAAAAGUGUUUGGUUAUUAUCACAUCACUGUGUUAAGCUAUUAAAUCUUUCUUAAUGUAUUUCAGUAUUAAAAUGUUGAGAAAUACCUUCAGUUCAUCACUUAAGGGAACAGCAGACCUGACUUGUCAAUUCUCCCUUUGAAACAUGAGAUGUUCUAGAAUUUUGCAUCAAACUCAUUGUUUUACUAAUUCUUGUUGGCUGAGUGUUCCCAUAUCCCGUAAUGUACGUCUGUGAAAUACUGUUUAAUAUUUUGAUAAAAAUGGUAAUCUAGCUUAGGGCAAGACAAGCUUCUGCAAAAUGAUUGUUGAGAAAUCACACUGCAAUACACUUUACCAUUAAUGUGCAGAAAUUCUCUGCUGUUCAUUUGUUUUGUUUUUUUUGUUCGAUUGUCAAGAUUUUAAUAGCAGUUGAUAGCACCAGGUAGGCUGGAAAGUCAAGGUCACAAUGAAGAAAAAGAGCCAUGUUUUGACCAGUUUUCAAUCCAAAAUCCUGUUAAAGCAGUCAAUAUUUAACAUGGACCUACAAGGCCAACAUUUGUAGUUGUACUGACGUGAAUGUCCAUUUUAAUAAUAGACUUUUGUAAGUUAACGCACAAUAAGGUUAAUGUGUAGAACUUCAUUGUGAGGGGAAAUAGAUAUGUUGUUUACUCAUAUGGAAGUUUUACAAGUGGUUUUGUAAGAAGCACAUGUUUCCUUGUUUGCAUAACAACUGUAGUCCAUUAUGUUAAAAAGCUGAAGUGAAAUACAGAGCAUUACUCUACUACCCUUUAACAUGACUGCUCUGCUUCAAGUUUAACUAAUGACCAAACCUCAAACAAAGCACAGUUCUGUUGAUAUUGUAAUUGUGUUGUAUUGAUAAGUCUUAUUUUUAUUAAAUGGAGAAAGACAUGAUUGUCACAUGAGUGAAACCAUUAUAUGUACAGAGCACAUUCACAGGCGACAUGCCUGCUUUUUUAUUAAAUUGCAGAUUUUGUAAUGA